UACGGGGGGAGCAAGCGUUGUUCGGAUUUACUGGGCGUAAAGCGUGCGCAGGCGGUUCGUGAUGUCUGAUGUGAAAGCCCCGGGCUCAACCUGGGAAUUGCAUUGGAAACUAGCGGGCUGGAGUGUGGCAGAGGGGGGUGGAAUUCCACGUGUAGCAGUGAAAUGCGUAGAGAUGUGGAGGAACACCGAUGGCGAAGGCAGCCCCCUGGGCUAACACUGACGCUCAUGCACGAAAGCGUGGGGAGCAAACAGG
Molecule: ribosomal RNA, 253 nt
Filed under: uncultured bacterium
Lineage: Bacteria
Description: partial 16S ribosomal RNA
Rfam family: Bacterial small subunit ribosomal RNA
Source: RNAcentral